Long non-coding RNA from Bubalus bubalis (water buffalo), 1598 nucleotides. RefSeq lists it as uncharacterized. The record is from RefSeq and is a predicted model, not a curated record. The transcript is spliced from 2 exons. NCBI's taxonomy places the organism in Eukaryota, Metazoa, Chordata, Mammalia, Artiodactyla, Bovidae.
UAGAGUCAGACACGACUGAAACGACUUAGCAGCUUAGCAGCAGCCAAUUAACAAUGUGAUAGCUUCAGGUGGACAGCAGAGGCCCUCAGCCAUAUAAAUAUAUGUAUCCAUUCUCCCCCACGCCCCUCUCCUGUCCAGGUUGCCACACAACGUUGAGCAGAGUUCCCUGUGCUGUACAGCAGGCCCUCAUUGGUUAUCCAAUUUAAUGUGUACAUGUGUACAUGUCCAUCCCAAACUCCUUACUUGUCCCUUUCCCCAUCCUUCCCCCUACCAGCAGCCAUAAGUUUGUUCCAAUACCUGACUCUUGAGAAUCUCAUGGGUGGUUUUGUGUGGAGGCAAUGAACCAAGCCAUCAGGAAGAAACCUCUUCAGUCCACACUGCACAGCUGUGAUACUUAAGUAGUUCAUUCUGAACAGUCUGUAUGUGUACAGUGAUCUAAAGUUUUAAAACAUCCACCUCUGACUCGGGGACAAAUAACAGGCACCUCAUCUCUGCCUAUCCCAUCUGCCCCCAGGGUAGACAGGCGGUGGGUGGGGGGUCAUGCAGAGAUGCCCUCGGUCACACAGCAGCUCAAAGCCCCACUAAAGGAGAAAAAAUGGUCUAGUGAAAACAUGACCUCAAAAUGCCAGCUAAGACUCAGAUCUCCAACUUCAAAAGUAAGAUGUCCUGACGUUCAGGCAUAGGCUGACUCUGUCUUCUCUUAAAUAUACCUCCUUUGUUUAAAAAAAAAAAAAUGAAAUGAAACUCCUCUGGGUUCUGGGGAAGGGCAUGGAACUUCAAAGGCCCUUCCCCCGCACCCGGUGGGGAAGGCCACAGAGCAAGGCCUUCAUCAGAACCUCAAAUUAGAGCAGCCGGGUGGAACCAUGUCACGUUGUCCCAUGUGGCAUGUUCUAUGGUUUAAUUCAUGGUCCCUCUAGACUGCACUUGUCUCUUCAUUAUAUGUGGCCACCCUGCAAUUCCCCACCACUGUUGUUUGUGACUUUUUUAAAACGAGACAUUUUUGUCCCAGUUACACCCUUUGAGAGCCGAGCCUAAAUUCUACACAUCAGAAGCUGUUCGUAAACAGCCACGGCGAUAGCCCAAACCUCAAAAUAUGUGGUCAUGUAGCUGAAAGAAGAACAUUUGGGUUGAACUUCCAUGAGAAAUUGUCCUUGGCCCAGACACAGCUAGUCUGAACCACAAGGGGGCACCAUGUCCCCGUGGGUGAACUCAAGUCUAGAGAUCUUGACAUCCCAAGAAUCUUCGCGUCUCCACGUAAACUCUUCCACAGGAGAUCCCAACGUGACUUUCCUGUGAAUCCAAUGGUUAAGAAUCCGCCUGCUAAAGCAGGGGACAUCUGUUCAAUCCCCCGUCUGGGAAAAUCCUACAUGCCGUGGGGCAACCAAGCCCGAGCUCUAGAGCCCAUGAGCCACACAACUACUGAGCCUGAGCACUCCAGAGCCUGUGCUCCGCACCAAGAGGAGCCACUGCGAUGAGAAGCCCUACACCACGGCUGGAGAGCGGCCCAGCUCCCUGCGGCUGGAGAGCGGCCAGCGCAGCAGAGAAGAAACAAAUAAAAAUGUAAAAAAUAAUAAUAAUAAAUAUAAUUAAUUCAAACA